GGCACAGGGGAGGCCCUGAGUCACACGAUGGUGAUGCCCAGGGCAGAAGAUGUCAGAAGACAGGCAGUUUCUCACAGUGCUUCUGAAGGUCGCGAAAAAGCCAGGGGUGAGUCUGUAAAGUCCCUGCUGGCCAUGAUGAUGUCCCUGACAGCUGGGGAUCCUGGCGAGAACAGCAUUCAGAACUUGGGAUUUUCCUUGCAGAUCAUAAUGGUUGGCUGACUCAGGGGAAAGGGGGAGCUUUGCAGAGAGCCUCAAACAUCUCCAGCUGAGCUGCACCUGUCAGGGCCCCUGAGCCAUCCAGGAAGAAGGAGGCACUAAGGUGGGGAAUGGGGUCAGCAGCCUGGGCUCUGGUUCCAGUUCCGCACCCCCCCCUUGCCCCCCAGAACUACCUGUAUGGCAAGCUCCUUUCCCUUCCUGUGCCUCAGUUUCCUCCUCUGUAAAAUCAGUUUAGACUACACUGCAAGGUUGUCCAGCCCGCAGCCAGUGGGCUGCAUGCCAGCCAGGACAGCUUUGAAUGUGGCCCAACACAAAUUCGUAAACCUUCUUAAAACAUUAUGAAA
RNAcentral lists this long non-coding RNA (560 nucleotides) under Pan troglodytes (chimpanzee). Its description in RNAcentral is "lincRNA". Lineage: Eukaryota; Metazoa; Chordata; Mammalia; Primates; Hominidae. The record is from RNAcentral.